RNAcentral lists this ribosomal RNA (153 nucleotides) under Regiocrella camerunensis. Its description in RNAcentral is "partial large subunit ribosomal RNA". It matches the Rfam family "Eukaryotic large subunit ribosomal RNA", at positions 111 to 261 of the family's 3401-position model. Lineage: Eukaryota; Fungi; Ascomycota; Sordariomycetes; Hypocreales; Clavicipitaceae. The record is from RNAcentral.
AAAUUUGAAAUCUGGCCUCCCCCGCGGGGCCCGAGUUGUAACUUGCAGAGGAUGCUUCUGGCGAGGUGCCUUCCGAGUUCCCUGGAACGGGACGCCACAGAGGGUGAGAGCCCCGUCUGGUCGGACGCCGAGCCUCUGUGAAGCUCCUUCGAC